Molecule: ribosomal RNA, 441 nt
Filed under: uncultured bacterium
Lineage: Bacteria
Description: partial 16S ribosomal RNA
Rfam family: Bacterial small subunit ribosomal RNA
Source: RNAcentral
CCUACGGGAGGCAGCAGUAGGGAAUAUUGCACAAUGGGGGAAACCCUGAUGCAGCAACACCGCGUGAAGGAAGACGGUUUUCGGAUUGUAAACUUCUGUUCUUAGUGAAGAAUAAUGACGGUAGCUAAGGAGCAAGCCACGGCUAACUACGUGCCAACAGCCGCGGUAAUACGUAGGUGGCAAGCGUUGUCCGGAAUUACUGGGUGUAAAGGGAGCGCAGGCGGGGAGCCAAGUCAGCUGUGAAAACGAUGGGCUUAACUUGUAGACUGCAGUUGAAACUGGUUGACUUGAGUGAAGUAGAGGACAGUGGAACUCCGAGUGUAGCGGUGAAAUGCGUAGAUAUACGGAAGAACACCGGUGGCGAAGGCGGCUAACUGGGCUGCAACUGACGCUGAGGCUCGAAAGCGUGGGUAGCAAACAGGAUUAGAUACCCGUGUAGUC